Molecule: transfer RNA, 72 nt
Filed under: Thermonema lapsum
Lineage: Bacteria; Pseudomonadati; Bacteroidota; Cytophagia; Cytophagales; Thermonemataceae
Rfam family: tRNA
About the family: Transfer RNA (tRNA) molecules are approximately 80 nucleotides in length. Their secondary structure includes four short double-helical elements and three loops (D, anti-codon, and T loops).
Source: Rfam by way of RNAcentral
GUCCCCGUAGUUUAAUGGACAGAACAGGAGUUUCCUAAACUCUCGGUGCAGGUUCGAUUCCUGCCGGGGGCA